This 437-nucleotide ribosomal RNA is filed under the name uncultured Planctomycetota bacterium. Its description in RNAcentral is "bacterial SSU rRNA". It matches the Rfam family "Bacterial small subunit ribosomal RNA", at positions 383 to 810 of the family's 1533-position model. Lineage: Bacteria; Pseudomonadati; Planctomycetota. The record is from RNAcentral.
GUGACGAAGCGACGCCGCGUGCGGGAAGAAGGCCUUCGGGUUGUAAACCGCUGUCGGGAGUUAGGAAAUGCAAGGAUGUUAAUAGCGUCUUUGCUUGACUAAGGCUCCGGAGGAAGCCACGGCUAACUCUGUGCCAGCAGCCGCGGUAAUACAGAGGCGGCAAGCGUUGUUCGGAAUUAUUAGGCGUAAAGAGCACGUAGGCGGCCGUGUAAGUCGGUUGUGAAAGCCUUCCGCUCAACGGGAGAACGGCAUCCGAUACUGCAUGGCUCGAGUGCGGGAGGGGAGAGUGGAACUUCUGGUGGAGCGGUGAAAUGCGUAGAUAUCGGAAGGAACACCGGCGGCGAAGGCGACUCUCUGGCCCGUAACUGACGCUGAGUGUGCGAAAGCUAGGGGAGCAAAUGGGAUUAGAUACCCCGGUAGUCCUAGCCGUAAACGAU